This 520-nucleotide ribosomal RNA is filed under the name uncultured Glomus. RNAcentral describes it as "SSU rRNA". It matches the Rfam family "Eukaryotic small subunit ribosomal RNA", at positions 569 to 1089 of the family's 1831-position model. The record is from RNAcentral. Lineage: Eukaryota; Fungi; Glomeromycota; Glomeromycetes; Glomerales; Glomeraceae.
AGCAGCCGCGGUAAUUCCAGCUCCAAUAGCGUAUAUUAAAGUUGUUGCAGUUAAAAAGCUCGUAGUUGAAUUUCGGGGUUAGUAGGCUGGUCGUGCCACUGGUACGUACUGGUCUCACUGAUUCCUCCUUCCUGAUGAACUGUAAUGCCAUUAAUUUGGUGUUGCAGGGAAACUGGACUGUUACUUUGAAAAAAUUUAGAGUGUUUAAAGCAAGCUAACGCUUGAAUACAUUAGCAUGGAAUAAUGAAAUAGGACGUUCGAUCCUAUUUUGUUGGUUUCUAGGAUUGACGUAAUGAUUAAUAGGGAUAGUUGGGGGGCAUUAGUAUUCAAUUGUCAGAGGUGAAAUUCUUGGAUUUAUUGAAGACUAACUACUGCGAAAGCAUUUGCCAGGAUGUUUUCAUUAAUCAAGAACGAAAGUUAGGGGAUCGAAGACGAUCAGAUACCGUCGUAGUCUUAACCAUAAACUAUGCCGACUAGGGAUCGGAUGAUGUUAAUUUUUUAAUGACUCAUUCGGCGCCUU